GGGGGACCUCGAGUGCCUUGGUACACCAAGGCUGUCGUUAUGUCUAAAACCAUGAUAUAGCAAGGGCCGGGCAAGACCGGUGCCAGCCGCCGCGGUAACACCGGCGGCUCGAGUGGUAACCGUUAUUAUUGGGUUUAAAGGGUCUGUAGCCGGCCGGAUAAGUCUCUUGGGAAAUCUGGCAGCUUAACUGUCAGGCUUUCAGGAGAUACUGUUCGGCUCGAGACCGGGAGAGGUGAGAGGUACUUCAGGGGUAGGGGUGAAAUCUUGUAAUCCUUGAAGGACCACCAGUGGCGAAGGCGUCUCACCAGAACGGAUCUGACGGCAAGGGACGAAAGCUAGGGGCACGAACCGGAUUAGAUACCCGGGUAGUCCUAGCCGUAAACAAUACUCGCUAGGUGUCGGCCACGGUGCGACCGUGGUCGGUGCCGUAGGGAAACCGUGAAGCGAGCCACCUGGGAAGUACGGCCGCAAGGCUGAAACUUAAAGGAAUUGGCGGGGGAGCACCACAACGGGUGGAGCUUGCGGUUUAAUUGGAUUCAACGCCGGGAAGCUUACCGGGAUCGACAGCGAUAUGAAGGCCAGGCUGAAGACCUUGCCGGAUUAGCUGAGAGGAGGUGCAUGGCC
RNAcentral lists this ribosomal RNA (624 nucleotides) under uncultured archaeon. Its description in RNAcentral is "bacterial SSU rRNA". It matches the Rfam family "Archaeal small subunit ribosomal RNA", at positions 373 to 999 of the family's 1478-position model. The record is from RNAcentral.